UUGACCUCGAAUCAGGUAGGAAUACCCGCUGAACUUAAGCAUAUCAAUAAGCGGAGGAAAAGAAACCAACAGGGAUUGCCCCAGUAACGGCGAGUGAAGCGGCAACAGCUCAAAUUUGAAAUCUGGCCCCUUGGGGCCCGAGUUGUAAUUUGCAGAGGAUACUUUUGGCGAGGCGCCUUCCGAGUUCCCUGGAACGGGACGCCAUAGAGGGUGAGAGCCCCGUCUGGUUGGAUGCCGAGCCUCUGUAAAGUUCCUUCGACGAGUCGAGUAGUUUGGGAAUGCUGCUCUAAAUGGGAGGUAUAUGUCUUCUAAAGCUAAAUAUAGGCCAGAGACCGAUAGCGCACAAGUAGAGUGAUCGAAAGAUGAAAAGCACUUUGGAAAGAGGGUUAAAAAGCACGUGAAAUUGUUGAAAGGGAAGCGCUUGUGACCAGACGUGGGCCUGUCGGAUCAUCCAGCGUUCUCGCUGGUGCACUCCGGCGGGCUCAGGCCAGCAUCAGCUCGUCCCGGGGGACAAAGGCAGCGGGAAUGUGGCUCCUUCGGGAGUGUUAUAGCCCGCUGUGUAAUGCCCUGGGGCGGGCUGAGGUUCGCGCAUCUGCAUG
Molecule: ribosomal RNA, 599 nt
Filed under: Claviceps purpurea (ergot fungus)
Lineage: Eukaryota; Fungi; Ascomycota; Sordariomycetes; Hypocreales; Clavicipitaceae
Description: eukaryotic LSU rRNA
Rfam family: Eukaryotic large subunit ribosomal RNA
Source: RNAcentral